RNAcentral lists this ribosomal RNA (253 nucleotides) under uncultured bacterium. Its description in RNAcentral is "partial 16S ribosomal RNA". It matches the Rfam family "Bacterial small subunit ribosomal RNA", at positions 524 to 776 of the family's 1533-position model. The record is from RNAcentral.
UACAGAGGUGGCAAGCGUUGUUCGGAAUUACUGGGCGUAAAGGGCGCGUAGGCGGUCCGCUAAGUUAGAUGUGAAAACUCUGGGCUCAACCCAGAGCCUGCAUCUAAUACUGACGGGCUAGAGUUCUGGAGGGGGUAGCGGAAUUCCUGGUGUAGCGGUGAAAUGCGUAGAUAUCAGGAGGAACACCGGUGGCGAAGGCGGCUACCCGGACAGAAACUGACGCUGAGGCGCGAAAGCUAGGGGAGCAAACAGG